GGGGAAUUUUGGACAAUGGGCGAAAGCCUGAUCCAGCCAUGCCGCGUGAGUGAAGAAGGCCUUCGGGUUGUAAAGCUCUUUUAGUCGGAAAGAAAGAGUCGCAAUGAAUAAUUGUGAUUUAUGACGGUACCGACAGAAAAAGCACCGGCUAACUACGUGCCAGCAGCCGCGGUAAUACGUAGGGUGCGAGCGUUAAUCGGAAUUACUGGGCGUAAAGGGUGCGCAGGCGGUUUUGCAAGUCAGAUGUGAAAGCCCCGGGCUUAACCUGGGAAUUGCGUUUGAAACUACAAGGCUAGAGUGCAGCAGAGGGGAGUGGAAUUCCAUGUGUAGCAGUGAAAUGCGUAGAGAUGUGGAAGAACACCGAUGGCGAAGGCAGCUCCCUGGGUUGACACUGACGCUCAUGCACGAAAGCGUGGGGAGCAAAC
This 425-nucleotide ribosomal RNA is filed under the name uncultured bacterium. Its description in RNAcentral is "bacterial SSU rRNA". It matches the Rfam family "Bacterial small subunit ribosomal RNA", at positions 356 to 773 of the family's 1533-position model. The record is from RNAcentral.